Molecule: long non-coding RNA, 677 nt
Filed under: Salmo salar (Atlantic salmon)
Lineage: Eukaryota; Metazoa; Chordata; Actinopteri; Salmoniformes; Salmonidae
Description: lncRNA (ENSSSAG00000109611.1)
Source: RNAcentral
CAAACACACACAAUAACACAUGCAUGUGCUUACCAACACACACAACCUCUCUCUCGUCUCUCUUCCAACUCUCUUUUCUCUCCCCUCGCUCUCUUCUCUCUCUCCUCUCCCUCUCUGACUAAGCUUCAUAAGGAUAUAGAGUGGGACUGCACUUAGAGGCCUAACAGCCAUUACCCAGCGGGCUGCAGACGGCGUGUGGAGAGAGUCCUGGGGAGAUCCAUCAACAUUCUGCUGGCCUGGAACAUCGAUUAACCAUCCGUCAGCCAGAGAGGAUGCUGGGUAAUGGAGCGCUUGGUAGUGUACAGCAGCCAUGAUGAAAGGAGGUGAAGGUGGCGAGGGUCACUCCAGUGUUUCUCUCCCUGGCUCUAUUCAUCGCCCCUCCCAUGUGUAGCAUACCAUAAUGACUGCACUCCCACCAAAGUCUGAACUUGAAUUCAUAUUCUAUAUUACCUUCAAAACAGAACAAUUUGAGGAGGACUGGGCAUAUGGUCAAAGGAGAGGGAAGAUGCUCUGAAGAUGAGCUGGGAUGAUGAGAGUGAUUUGGCCCGAAUGCUUAGUGGAAUGGUUGGAUGAGACGGCCACUACAUCUCUGCUACAGCUAGCCUGAGGGGCUGGCCCUUUGACACAGGCUUUGUAAUCUGAGCAGAGCAGGUACUCUAACUGGCAGAGAGAAGAAC